GAGAAAGGAAGCCACAGACAACCUGGAGUUGAGUGUUGCCUUUGCCUUACUGUGUUUUGCUCUUGAACAAAAUAAUUCACUGUUUGUGUUUCUGUGUAUGUGUGUGUGUGUGUGUGUGUGUGUGUGUGUGUGUAAUCCCA
This 140-nucleotide small RNA is filed under the name Marmota monax (woodchuck). Lineage: Eukaryota; Metazoa; Chordata; Mammalia; Rodentia; Sciuridae. The record is from RNAcentral.